RNAcentral lists this long non-coding RNA (422 nucleotides) under Homo sapiens (human). Its description in RNAcentral is "long non-coding RNA NONHSAT013495.2". The record is from RNAcentral. Lineage: Eukaryota; Metazoa; Chordata; Mammalia; Primates; Hominidae.
GAUAACACACGCCGGAGGGUCGCACGCGGGUUCCAGUUGUGAUUGCUGGAGUUGUGUAUUGCCAGGAGGCUCUCCGAGAUUGGGGUCGGGUCACUGCCUCAUCCACCGGAGCGAUGGCGUUUCUCCGAAGCAUGUGGGGCGUGCUGAGUGCCCUGGGAAGGUCUGGAGCAGAGCUGUGCACCGGCUGUGGAAGUCGACUGCGCUCCCCCUUCAGUUUGUGUAUUUACCGAGGUGGUUUUCAUCUGUCUUGGCAAGUUGUCCAAAGAAACCUGUAAGUUCUUACCUUCGAUUUUCUAAAGAACAACUACCCAUAUUUAAAGCUCAGAACCCAGUGCAAAAACUACAGAACUAAUUAGAAGAAUUGCCCAGCGUUGGAGGGAACUUCCUGAUUCAAAGAAAAAAGUAAGCACAUAAGUUUUCAA